RNAcentral lists this long non-coding RNA (8651 nucleotides) under Olea europaea subsp. europaea. The stretch from base 165 to 378 matches the Rfam family "MIR168 microRNA precursor family". The record is from RNAcentral. Lineage: Eukaryota; Viridiplantae; Streptophyta; Magnoliopsida; Lamiales; Oleaceae.
CAGUAACAAAAUCUCUCUCUCUCUCUCUCUCUCUCUCUCUCUCUCUCUCUCUCUCUCUCUCUCUCUCUCUCUGUAUUCUCUUUCGUUCGGAUCUAUUUCGAAGAUACAGAAGCACACGAGGCUAUAUAUUCACAAUCUUGUGUGUACAUGCAAAUGUUUGAUUUAUUGCGGCGGUCUCUAAUUCGCUUGGUGCAGGUCGGGAACUUUCUUCGCCGGUUAUGUCGUUUCAACUUUCACGUGAAUAUUCCAAACGCCAAAAUCGUGCUCAUAUAAAUAUGUAUGGAUUUCUGUAUGUAUAAACAAACUAAUUGAUGUCGUUGUAUUUGGCGAAAAUCAGGUUCCCGCCUUGCACUAAGCAAAUUAGAGACCGCGGUGAAUGUUACAUCGUAAAGGACGGUGUUUCAUCUUAUUCCGGUGGAUCUCUUUAUUGAUUUGGUUCAAUUGUAGGUUUGGAUUUGAUUUGUUUUCAGCUGAAUGCGUUGGAAUGACUCAGAUAAUUUACGACUAUUCUAUUUGAGUGACAGAUCUUUUGGACUUUGCAGGUAUGUGCUUGUUUUAAAGUUUUUUGUUCAAGAAAAAGACAUGAGGAAAAUAUGGAAAUAGGAUGAUUUCUAAUUGGAAUUUUCUGAGAUAAUUAAUUCAUUUUGAGUGGCUGUUUGUGUCUGUUUAUUUAUUGUUUAAAUUCUGAGCUUUUUCCUUUUUAUUUUUAUUUAUUUUUAUUAUUAUUUUUUUUUUUUAACAUAAAAUUAAUCAAGAAGCAAUCAAUUACUAUUAAAAAAAAUUUUUGUGGUGAAAAGUAAUUAUUUUUCUUUCUUUCUGAUUUCCUUUUUUCCUGACAAAUUCAGAGAGCAUUUUGAUUUUCCAUCGGAAUAUUUGAUGGAUCUUAGUAAAAAUGUCAGAAUUUGUGCAAAUAAGUGCUACCAAAUCUAAUUUCCCUCGUAUAUAGUUCUCGACUUAAAAAUUGUGAAUUGUUGGCUUAGACUAUCUCAGCAAAGUUUGCCAGUUAUGCUAGCAGAUAUUUGGGCUUCUCAUUAUUUAACAUUUCUGGAUUCAAGCGAAUAGAUACAGGGGCGUGUGAGUUGAAUUUUGAAUUUUAUGUUUACAUGGUUAAAAAAUUCAACGUUUCGUGGAAAAUAUCCAUUUGCUAGGACAUGGAAAAGAAACACUGAUACCUCUGAAGCCAUAACAUAUUCAAUUUGUAUGCCCUCGUCAAUGUGAUUGAAAGUUAUCACAUAAGCAUAUUUCUUACAAGUGCAUUGAAUUAUGUCUAUUAUUUUUUUGUUUAUAGUGUAUUCUGGAAAGUUGACAAACAGUUUUCACUUCUCCUUCUGCCAAAGACAAAUUGUUGAACACGCUUAUGUUUUUUAUUGAUGCUUAGGAUGUGGUCUUUUAUUGCACACAGGCUUGUUUUGGACUUCCUUUACAUAAAGGAAAUUCCUGAUUUGACUCUAGAAGGGAAUAGAAAGAAGGGAAAGAAAGUCUCCUUACAAUAUUAUGUUCAUUUAUUUCGUUUUAGUAGUGAUUUCUGAAAAAAUUAAUUUAUUUAUGCAUGUGUAUAUGCUUUACAAGUCUAAUUUAUAAAAAUAUUUGGGCUCAUGGAUCAAUUAAUUCAUUACAUAAACCUGAAAGCACACAUAGUUAGGAUUCAAUUUUUUCCCUUUUUGCUGACAAUUAACUCGAUACAGAAAAUUUUCACCUUGCUUAAGGUUUCUUUAUCUGUUCAUUCUUUUCUAAAUUGUGCUUUAUGUUUUUUCUUUGUUAUUUUUUUUUAUGACAACUGUUUAACAUUCAAAAUUUUGGUCAUUGGAACUAACGAGCUCUAAAAAAAUUCUCUAGAGUAUAUCUGAAUGCAAAUUCAUAAUUCAUGGAAUUCGUUCUUGACGAAACUUUGGGCUAAAAUUACUUCAAAAGUUUUAAGAGUUUUCUGGUCUUUAUGCUUCUUCAAAAGUUAAGGCUGUGGUUCUCAAUACUUACCCAUUUUAUAUCUCAUCAAAGAUACAAAUUAUAAUUCUUCUGCAUCAUUGUAUGAUCUACAUACAGCCAUUAUUAAAUUCAAUUUACACUUCAAAUUAUACUUAAGUCAAUUGAAUAAGAAAUUAUACUCAUGCAACCUUAUUUUCGCACAUAUUGUGUCCAUUUUUAAUUAUUGCCCUUGUUUGAGCCCCAUUUUUGUGAAGAAAAUGAAUUUUUGAAUAGUGUAUUGAUGGAAAAUGUGUGGUUAAAAAAUAAGGAAAAGUUUUUGAUUUGCGUACAAUAUUAUUUUAUUGAAGAAUGUAUGGUUGAAAUGAUGUCAAAUCACUGUUGAAUAAUGUAUUUUAGUUGAAAAAUGGGGCUCAAACAAGGGCAUUCAUCUUAUGCUACUCCUGCAUCUUGAGAAAUGACAUUUCAUGAAUUUUGGAUCCUUGUAUGACGAAUUUUUUUCUUAGGAUUUUAUCAUUUUAUUGUCUGGGUACCUUGUUUGCUUUGGGUUAUGCACAGAUUUAUGCAUGAUGAGUGGGUGAGAACAUGUAUUUCAAUCAAAUGCAUAAUAUUUUUCAAUCUGCAGUUGACACGUCUUUAUCAUCUCUGACUUGUCUGAAAUGUGUGCCAUGUUUAUUCUAUGUCCUGGAAUCUCAUAAUUGGAAAGUUAAAGUAAGAUGCACCUCCUUCCAAUGCAAUGUCUGUUUGUGUCUACCGUCUGUUGGCAUUGCAGCAUUAUCGGAACGUUAAUUCAAUCAAAACAUUUGUGUUAUAGCAUUCGGUAUGUUUGAACUGUCUUUCACAUUUGAUUUAUGCUGACUAAUUUGUUGGUGGCUUGUAUUUGAUUCCAGUUUAUAUGGUGGGCUAGAGCGAAGUUUGGGCUGUAUUGCCAUGAUGUCCUUGGAUUGAUCAUGUUGGGUCAAUAUUUUGGACCUCUUGACUUUCAAGCAAAAGGUCAGAAUGACAUUGCUUGAAUAGAUUGUCUAUUUGCUGACUUUGUGUGUUUCUUCAUUUUCAUCUAUAAGUUUCUUAUUCAUGGACUAUGUGGGACACAUUCCUAUGGAAGUAGCAAUUUUAAUGCCAGAAGUGUGUUACUCAUGGAUUAUGUGGGAUCUUCAACUAGAUAAGCAACAACGGUAGGGCUUAAAUGCAUUAUGUUUUUAUUUGUUGAAAUCUUUUUUCUUUCCAUCUUUUUGGAUAAGGAUUUUUAUAUCUAACAUUUUGUUAUUCAUACUUGUCGGUAUUAGGUUUUGUCUUCAAGCCACAAAAUCUUCUAUCUUUCCAUGGUGUGCGACUUAUAUAAGUAGACAUGACUUUGGACAUGGCUUGCUCACAAAAGAAGGUAAAAUAUUACGCUGAUAGAUUGAUGAAUAAAAGCAUUUGAGAUACGACUGUUUAGAGUCUUUUUAAAUGGCAAAGACAAUACAUAUGCAGCAAUUUUGAUAUGUAAGUGCAAUUAUAUUUCAUUAUGUUAUGUUAUUCAUAAUAAUUCAGUAUGAUCAAAAAGUUAUAUCUGCUGCAUUAAUGAGCAUGAAAUCAUAUAUAUGAUAGUUUUCCAUGCCUUCUACUAACCCUAAUAACCAGAAAUAGCUACCAUUCUAAGUUAAAUAUGCCUCUUCUUGCCACUUGGUACAACUACAUUAUGUCUAGCUCCAACGGAAUAAAAUCUUUUGUGACCACCUCAAGCGAUGUUAAUUUUCACGUACCUCUUCCUAUUCUAAGUAAUUUUAUGGAGAUCAUGUUUCUUGUGAACUUUCUCUAGGUCUAUUAAGAUACGCCUCAACUAUCAAAUCUGUCAUUUCUUUAAUUUAUCCUAAAUGAUUUGAUUAACCUCCAUUAGUUGGAGUAUAUUCUUAAUAUACAGCUAUGGACUUGUUGUAAUUAGGCAACACAGUAUUGUAAAGCCUAGUUCGUUUGACAACUUACCAUUUAAAUUGGUAGGCAUCUUUUGCUACCGUAGAAUCCUUGUCAUUUCAAUUUACCUUGUUCAUUACAUUUUUAGGUUAGGCAUGGGUACUGAAUUUGCUCUAAUUACCUGUAUUUAUUCGGGAUUUUGUGAAAUUGUUUUUUGAUUUAUGAUUGUGUAAGUUACUGGCAAUAAUAUUAAGGCUGCAGAAUUUUAUUUAUUAUUCCACGUCAAGGCUAUUGUUUGGGGCACUCUGUAUGUGACUAUUUUUUUGCAUUAAGUUUAGCAUUUUCUGUCAAGAGGUUCGAGCAUAUGUGCCCAACUGCAUCCUUCUCUCGUCCCCUCACUAUACUUUGUGUUUUCAAUUCUAUAUGUAUUGUUAUUUCCUUCAUUCAAGAUCUAUCUGGUAAAUGGCCAUUGCAGAAUUUCAAAUUAUAUUGCAGUGUGCUUAUGUGGUAGUGAAAUCAAUCACUCUGCUCCAUGAGUAUUAAUCUUGCUUCUUAUAGAGAUGUCUUUUUCGUGGAGUAUGUUCAGGUGAUUUAGCGAGUUUUUUUCUGUACGCCAAACUCAGGGUCAUUGAUUUCUUUGUUUUCACCUGAUUUAUCUCCUGGCCCCAAUUUUAUCUGGUCCUUUUUGGUUGAGUUAACAUGAAUUAUCUAUUUGUGGUGUAAUAUAUGCAUAGUUGUACUUUACCUAGAGUAUUUAAUGAAAAUUAACUCCCCCAUCCUAAUUUUAGAAGAGUUUCUAGGAGGAAAAUCAUAAUAUAUUUUAGAUGAAGCGGUAUGACACUUGAGUAAAUGCUGGGAAAUCGUUUUGCAAUUACAGUAAUCUCCUUUUAGAUAAGAUACAGAUUACCUUAGAUAUACCAAAUCCACUUCCCACCUAGUAAAUCUAUCCAUGCAGGCCUGUUUAUUACUUUCCCCUCUGUUUCAGAAACACCUGGAUAAAAUUGUACAUGCCGCGUGCCUAUAACCAUGUCCACAUGUAACAAUUAGUUCCUCCCGUUGGUGGCACAGUUUGCAACAGCUGGCAGUGCCAGUGACACAUGGUACCAUAUAGUAUAUCUUUUCUAGCUAUAUAUUCCCACCGAUUCUCUUCUAUAAAUAUGAAAGGGUCUUUUCUCUCCCCCAUCACACCUUUCUCCAUCUCCCACACAGAGAUUUCUUAUAUAGAGAUAUAAGGGUAUAAACCUAGAGAUAUAAGAUCAUCUGUCUAUUUGGGGGAAAAAAGUAACUACUUGCAGCAGUCUCUAAUUCGGUUGGUGCAGUUCGGGAGUUCCUUUGCCUGUGAUAUUGAUGUCUGGCAAAAGUCAUGCUCCUGAGUUGUGCCAAUUGAAUCAGAGCCUGCAGCAAAUAGCAUCUCAAUGACGUUGUUUAGUGGGAUUCAGAUGGAUCCUUUUACUGAUGUACUAAUGGUUUUAUUGAUUUGUUGUUUAGCGACUUCACUGAUUUAUUUAUUUAUUUCUAUUUUUAUGAUGAUCGAAUAGCACUCGAUCUCACGGAUUAAUUAAUGAACAUUUAUUGCCUUGCCGCUCUUGGCGUUCUUAUUAGGCAACAGCUGAUUAGCUACUCCUCUUACUACACGUCGCUUACGUAGCCAACACCUAGAUUUGGCUCUAUCCAAACUUUUGGUAAUUUCUGUUCACCUAAAUGCAUUAAAGAAAAAUGAGGAUUAUAGAAGGUGGUGUUUUCAAUUUACAAUAUUAGUUUUUAAUUUCAGUUUUCUGAAAUAUUUGAUUUAUUUUAAUGAAUAUGUUACUUUUUCAUUUACAUUUACAACUUUUCAAUUUAGUUUUCCAUUUCACGACAAUGCUUGCAUGUAUUGAAAAAGAAGAUAAUUAACUUAAGAAAUCAACAUAUUUUUUCCAAUCCCAUUUUUUAUUCUUUUUUCUUCCCGCCCUUCACAAAUUCUUAGAUAGUUCUGUAAUAAGUAAUUAUUAUAGAUUGUUGCAUUGUUGGAGAAGUUUUUAAAAAUAUUUAUGACCAUUUGUCAUUGCUAUAGAUUGCAUACUAGACCAAAAAAAGGUUUUGCCAUAAUGGGUUGGAUACUCUUACGAGUUGUUUUGUUGGACGUAGUAGGAUUCCAUCUUUUCUUUUUCUUUUUUUGUGCGUGAGUGCAGCGGAGACACAUGUUUAUGUAUAUGGUGUUGAACCUAACAUCUAACAUUGACAAAUAUUCUAAAAACUUCAAUCUACAUCCCCUUCUUCAGUCCCAAUAUGGUUGAAAUAUCUUGCUUCUUCUCUGUCUCAAUCUACAUCCCCUUACGUCAAGCGUUCGAGCAAAUGUGCCCCUACAUUCUUCUCUCACCCCCUCACUGUAUUAUUGAGUUUUUAGUUCUGUAUCUAUCAUCAUUUCGUUCGUUUAAAAUCUAUCUACGUAAUGAUCUUUGCAUCAUUUCUAAUAUUUAUAUUUUUUUUGGCAUAUUGCAUUGUGCUUAUGUGAUCGUGAAAUCAAUCACUCUAUUCCAUGAGUGUUAAUCUUGCUUCUGAUCGACAUGUCUUAUUCAUGGAGUAUGUUCAGUUGAUUUAGCAAGUCUUUCUCCUCAACCCCAUCUUAAGUGUCAUUGAUUUUUUGUUUUCACCAGAUUUAUUUCAUGGACCCAAUUUUAGCUGGUCCAUUUUUUGCAGCGUUAGCAUUUAUCUUUUCUACUUAAUAGUAUAUGGAAUGAAAAUUAACUACCUAAUCCUAAUAUUAGUAGAAUAUCUAGGAUGGAAAUCAUAUUAUUUUUUAUUUUUGACUAGGUACAGAUUACAGUAAUUUUACAAAAUCCACUCUACCUAGUAAAUCUGUUCCAGCUAUAUAUCUCCACCCUUCUCUUCUACAAGCCAUCCUCACAGCUCAGACCCGCACCUUUCUACUUCUCUCACGCGCAGAUUUCUUGUAUAGAAAGAUGAGGGCAUAACCUAGAGAUACAAAGGUGGUCUGCCUAUUAGUUGGAAAGAAAUUUCACGACUUGCAGCAGUCUCUAAUUUGCUUGGUGCAGCUCGGGAGUUCCUUUGCCUUGGCAAAUGAUGUCUGGCAAAAGUUAUGCUCCCGAGUUGUGCCAAAUGAAUCAGAGCCUGCAGUGAAUACCAUAUCAACAUUUUUGUGUAGUGAGAUUCUGAUUGAUCCUGUUACUGAUGGUUUUAUUAGUUUGUGAUUUAGUGACUUUAAUGAUUAAUUUAUUAAAACUUUAAUGAUGAUCGAACAGCAGUAGAUCUGAUCAUUUUAAUUAAUGAGCACGUGUUGCCUGGCUGCUCUUUGCGAUCUUUAUCGAGCUAAAGCUGAUUUGGCAAUUCCUGUUCAUUUAAAUGCAGUAAAGAAAAAUGAGGGAUCAAAUAAAACGGUUGUUUUAGCUUUGAAUUUACAAUCUUUUGAAACGUUUAAUCUAUUUUUAAUGAAUAUGUUACUUUUUCUUAUAAAUUUAGCGCUUUUCAAUUUUGUUUUCCAUUUCUUGGCAGUAUGUGCUUGUACUGAAAAAGAAGAUAGUUGACUUCUAUGGAAAUCAAUUAUAUUUCUUUCUAAUUCCUUCUUUUUUUCUGCCUGCCUUUGGCAAAUUCUUAGAUUCUUCUGUGUCUCAGAAGAAAUUAUAGAUUCUUGUAGUCUUUGAAAAGUUUUUGAAAAUGUGUAUGGGUAUUUAUGAUUGCUAUAGAUUGCACCAUUUAGCAAAUAACUUUUGGCAAAAUGGGUUGAAUACUCUUACUAGUUUUUGUUGGAUGGAUUAGGAUACCAUCUUUUCCUUUUAUUUGUGUGCGCACAGCAGAAACACAGGUUCGUGCAUUUGGUGUUCAACCUGACAAUUAACAUUGAUAAAUCUUUUGGAAACGUCAAUCCAUAUCCCCCUUUUCAGUCUCAAUAUGGUUGAAGGAUCUUGCUUUUACUAAGGCUUUUUUGUUCUUAAUAGUAAAUGGCAACGUGAAAGUGCAUAUCGCAUUUCAAUCUUUGCAUUCACAUCUCCAGUCAUUUACCUUUAUUAUUAUUAUUAUUAUUAUUUUUGCAUCGCUGCAUUUGAUGUUGUCCAUUUUAAUGGUUGCCAAUUUUGAAGGGAAAAAUAUGUUCUGGCCAAUGAAAUUUUUAUUUGUUUGUGUGACUUAAAAGCAAUCUUUGUUUACCAUCUUCUCCUAUUUACUCUCUGAACUUUUAUCCAAUGUGGCCUUACUUAUUAUUUGUAAAAUUUGGUCAAAAUAAUUUCUUUAGCUCUACAAUUAAUUCAGAUUUAAUUGUUGAUAACAAUUAGUUGCAUGAUCUGCUGAGAAGUGGAGACCCAUAACUCCAUCCAAUUUGAGAAGUAAACGCGUUUAUGUAGUUGUGACGAGUUCUCUUGAUUAGGUUACCAUGGCCCAUAGUAAACCUGGGACAUGUUGGGGUUCCAGUGCCUGAAAUAUAGUGUAUUUGUCGGCAUGUUCAUAUGUACAAUGUACGUAGUUGGACUCAACUAAAUGUAUAUAGUGUGCAAAAGUAUGUAAUUUCCUUUAUGUAUAUAGUGUGCAAAAGUAUGUAAUUUCCUUUUCUAUUUUGGUUUCAGGCAAAAAUUUCAACCUCGUGACCACGAAGCUUAAGGUGGUUUAAUGCCAUCAUGACAUUUUCUUUGGCAUGUUGUCUACAUGGACAACCCUUGUUAUAUCUCAUUGUAAUUCUAUAGAGAUAACCAUUUAGAGAAGGAAAUCUUUAUGUUUCAUAUGUUCUUAGAGCAGUCCUAAUUCCUUGAGAAAUUAUCACUUUUAAUAUCAUUUCCCAAGUUCAAUUUCUAUUUCUAAAGUUGUACUUCAUCGUAUUCACUAAUCAAAUCAAUUUAUGUCUCUCGAGU